ACGAACGCUGGCGGCGUGCUUAACACAUACCGGUCGAACGGAAAGGCCUGCUUUCCCUUGUGGAUUGCGGGUGCUCGAGUGGCGAACGGGUGAGUAACACGUGAGUGAUCUGCCCCCAACUUGGGUAUAAGCCUGGGAAACUGGGUCUAAUUCCCGAUAGGACUGCAGGGUGGUGCCUGUGGUGGAAAACGAUUUUCUAGUGGUUGGGGAUGAGCUCGCGGCCUAUCAGCUUGUUGGUGGGGUAAUGGCCUACCAAGGCGGCGACGGGUAGCCGGCCUGAGAGGGUGGACGGGCACAUGGGGACUGAGAUACGGCCCAGACUCCUACGGGAGGCAGCAGUGGGGAAUAUUGCACAAUGGGCGGAGGCCUGAUGCAGCGACGCCGCGUGGGGGAUGACGGCCUUCGGGUUGUAAACUCCUUUCGACCGCGAGGAAGCCACCUGGUUGGAAGGGUGGUGACGGUAGUGGUAGAAGAAGCACCGGCUAACUACGUG
Molecule: ribosomal RNA, 493 nt
Filed under: uncultured bacterium
Lineage: Bacteria
Description: partial 16S ribosomal RNA
Rfam family: Bacterial small subunit ribosomal RNA
Source: RNAcentral